This 439-nucleotide ribosomal RNA is filed under the name uncultured bacterium. Its description in RNAcentral is "partial 16S ribosomal RNA". It matches the Rfam family "Bacterial small subunit ribosomal RNA", at positions 338 to 795 of the family's 1533-position model. The record is from RNAcentral.
CCUACGGGAGGCAGCAGUGGGGGAUAUUGCACAAUGGAGGAAACUCUGAUGCAGCGACGCCGCGUGAGGGAAGACGGUCUUCGGAUUGUAAACCUCUGUCUUUGGGGAAGAAAAUGACGGUACCCAAAGAGGAAGCUCCGGCUAACUACGUGCCAGCAGCCGCGGUAAUACGUAGGGAGAGAUGGUUGUACGGAAUUACUGGGUGUAAAGGGAGCGUAGGCGGGCGAGAAAUUUGAAUGUUAAAUCUACCGGCUUAACUGGUAGCUGAGUUUAAAACUUCUUGUCUUGAGUGAAGUAGAGGCAGGUGGAAUUCCUAGUGUAGCGGUGAAAUGCGGAGAUAUUAGGAGGAAAUCCGGUGGCGAAGGCGGCCUGCUGGGCUUUAACUGACGCUGAGGCUCGAAAGCGUGGGGAGCAAACAGGAUUAGAUACCCUUGUAGUC